Molecule: ribosomal RNA, 164 nt
Filed under: Turnera stenophylla
Lineage: Eukaryota; Viridiplantae; Streptophyta; Magnoliopsida; Malpighiales; Passifloraceae
Description: 5.8S ribosomal RNA
Rfam family: 5.8S ribosomal RNA
About the family: 5.8S ribosomal RNA (5.8S rRNA) is a component of the large subunit of the eukaryotic ribosome.
Source: RNAcentral
AAAACGACUCUCGGCAACGGAUAUCUCGGCUCUCGCAUCGAUGAAGAACGUAGCGAAAUGCGAUACCUGGUGUGAAUUGCAGAAUCCCGUGAACCAUCGAGUCUUUGAACGCAAGUUGCGCCCGAAGCCUUUCGGCCGAGGGCACGCCUGCCUGGGUGUCAUGC